This 253-nucleotide ribosomal RNA is filed under the name uncultured prokaryote. RNAcentral describes it as "partial 16S ribosomal RNA". It matches the Rfam family "Bacterial small subunit ribosomal RNA", at positions 524 to 776 of the family's 1533-position model. The record is from RNAcentral.
UACGUAGGGUGCGAGCGUUGUCCGGAAUUAUUGGGCGUAAAGCGCACGUAGGCGGUCCGUUAAGUCGGAUGUGAAAUCCCUCGGCUCAACCGAGGAAGUGCAUCCGAAACUGGCGGGCUUGAGUACGAAAGAGGGUCGCGGAAUUCCCGGUGUAGAGGUGAAAUUCGUAGAUAUCGGGAGGAACACCGGUGGCGAAGGCGGCGACCUGGGUCGAUACUGACGCUGAGGUGCGAAAGCGUGGGGAGCAAACAGG